RNAcentral lists this ribosomal RNA (803 nucleotides) under uncultured Chloroflexota bacterium. RNAcentral describes it as "bacterial SSU rRNA". It matches the Rfam family "Bacterial small subunit ribosomal RNA", at positions 253 to 1075 of the family's 1533-position model. Lineage: Bacteria; Bacillati; Chloroflexota. The record is from RNAcentral.
UAGGGUAAUGGCCUACCAAGGCGAUGACGGGUAGGGGGUGUGAGAGCAUGACCCCCCACAAUGGGAUUGAGAGACGGCCCAUACUCCUACGGGAGGCAGCAGCAGGGAAUUUUGCACAAUGGACGGAAGUCUGAUGCAGCGACGCCGCGUGGGUGAUGAAGGCCUUCGGGUCGUAAAACCCUUUUCUGGGGGAAGAGGAAGGACGGUACCCCAGGAAUAAGUGUCGGCUAACUACGUGCCAGCAGCCGCGGUAAUACGUAGGACACGAGCGUUAUCCGGAUUUACUGGGCGUAAAGCGCCUGUAGGCGGUUUUGUAAGUCGGAUGUGAAAGCCCCAGGCUUAACCUGGGGAGGCCAUUCGAUACUGCGGGACUUGAGGAUAGCAGAGGGGAGUGGAAUUCCCGGUGUAGCGGUAAAAUGCGCAGAUAUCGGGAGGAACACCAGUGGCGAAGGCGGCUCCCUGGGCUACUCCUGACGCUGAGAGGCGAAAGCUAGGGGAGCGAACAGGAUUAGAGACCCUGGUAGUCCUAGCCCUAAACGAUGGAUGCUAGGUGGAGGAUCGAUAGGUUUUCUGCCAAAGCUAACGCGUUAAGCAUCCCGCCUGGGGACUACGGCCGCAAGGCUAAAACUCAAACGAAUUGACGGGGGCCCGCACAAGCAGCGGAGCGUGUGGUUUAAUUCGAUGUUACACGAAGAACCUUACCUGGGUUUGACAUGGACGUGGUAGCGAAGCAAAAGCGGAGCGACCCUUCGGGGAGCGUUGACAGGUGCUGCAUGCUGUCGUCAGCUCGUGCCGUGAAGUGU